This 481-nucleotide ribosomal RNA is filed under the name uncultured bacterium. Its description in RNAcentral is "bacterial SSU rRNA". It matches the Rfam family "Bacterial small subunit ribosomal RNA", at positions 29 to 506 of the family's 1533-position model. The record is from RNAcentral.
ACGAACGCUGGCGGCGUGCUUAACACAUGCAAGUCUUACGAGAAAAGGGUAGCAAUAUCCUGAGUAAAGUGGCGCACGGGUGAGUAACACGUAGGCAAUCUGCCUUUAGGACGGGAACAACUCCGGGAAACCGGGGCUAAUACUCGAUAAUGCAGCGGCUCCGCAUGGAGACAGUUGUUAAACCCCGCAAGGGGCCUAUUGACGAGCCUGCGUCUGAUUAGCUAGUUGGUGAGGUAACGGCUCACCAAGGCUACGAUCAGUAGCUGGUCUGAGAGGAUGAUCAGCCACACUGGAACUGAGACACGGUCCAGACUCCUACGGGAGGCAGCAGUGAGGAAUAUUGCGCAAUGGCCGAAAGGCUGACGCAGCGACGCCGCGUGAAGGAUGAAGUUCGUUAGAAUGUAAACUUCUUUUGUAGGGGAUGAAUGUUCCGUUUUACGGAAUUGACCGUACCUUGCGAAUAAGGAUCGGCUAACUACGU